This 106-nucleotide small nuclear RNA is filed under the name Mus pahari (shrew mouse). The record is from RNAcentral. Lineage: Eukaryota; Metazoa; Chordata; Mammalia; Rodentia; Muridae.
GUGCCACUUCAGCAACACAUGUACUCAAAUUGGAAUGAUACAGAGAAGAUUAGCAUGGCCGCUGCACAAGGAUGACAUGCAAAUUCAUGAAGCAUUUCAUAUUUUA